CGGCGCACCCCUCCCCCCAACUCCGCUCUACUUUCGAUCGGUCCAACCCACCGAUGACGGGCUUCAACGGCGCAUCCCAGACGAACGGCGGCAAGGACCAGAGACGACGUCCGGCGGAGUUUUUGCAACGAGCGACGACGUCCGACACAGAUCUGAAGUAGACUCGCGAUUUUGACGAUCCACAACAGCCGCCGCCGACCCAGCAGCCACCAACGAGCGACGAAGACAAUGGAAAGCCGAAGCAGGUGCAACCUCGACGCGAAACCACACGUUUCGUUGAGUUUUCAGCAGUGUUUUCCCUCAUAUGGAUUCGAGGCGUUCAGACACCAAGCAAUGAAAUUUUG
Molecule: unclassified non-coding RNA, 344 nt
Filed under: Hevea brasiliensis (rubber tree)
Lineage: Eukaryota; Viridiplantae; Streptophyta; Magnoliopsida; Malpighiales; Euphorbiaceae
Source: RNAcentral